CUAUGGGGUCCCAAACUGAGUUUUGGCACAGUCACCCUGCAAUUUGAGCUAAAACUGGUUUGCCUGUUUCACUAGGUGAAGAGCACAGCACUGCUGGAAACCCCCGAGGUGAAUGAGACCAAAGUACUCUCUGGGUCCUGGAAAAUGUGAAGAUGUGACCAACGAUUCCAGGAGGAAAAUGGAAACAUUUCAAGGUGUUCCUGGUCAUCCUGCAAAACCACAGGGAAAAUAUCUGCAUGCCACUGAAAUGAAGCAACUCAAAACCAAACUCUGUGAAGAUAAUCCCAUCUUUUGCUUUUAUUUGGUAGAAAUGAAUGGGGAAAAAAAAAAGAAAAAAGCUUCAUCUGGGUUUUCAUGAUGAUAGAGUGGGAGCUUUCACCACCAUCCCAG
This is a long non-coding RNA of Poecile atricapillus (Black-capped chickadee), 390 nucleotides long. RefSeq lists it as uncharacterized. NCBI's taxonomy places the organism in Eukaryota, Metazoa, Chordata, Aves, Passeriformes, Paridae. The record is from RefSeq and is a predicted model, not a curated record. The transcript is spliced from 3 exons.